RNAcentral lists this ribosomal RNA (460 nucleotides) under uncultured bacterium. RNAcentral's name for it is "partial 16S ribosomal RNA". It matches the Rfam family "Bacterial small subunit ribosomal RNA", at positions 338 to 795 of the family's 1533-position model. The record is from RNAcentral.
CCUACGGGAGGCAGCAGUGAGGAAUAUUGGUCAAUGGACGAGAGUCUGAACCAGCCAAGUAGCGUGAAGGAUGACUGCCCUAUGGGUUGUAAACUUCUUUUAUAUGGGAAUAAAAUGUUCCACGUGUGGGAUUUUGUAUGUACCAUAUGAAUAAGGAUCGGCUAACUCCGUGCCAGCAGCCGCGGUAAUACGGAGGAUCCGAGCAUUAUCCGGAUUUAUUGGGUUUAAAGGGAGCGUAGGUGGAUUGUUAAGUCAGUUGUGAAAGUUUGCGGCUCAACCGUAAAAUUGCAGUUGAAACUGGCAGUCUUGAGUACAGUAGAGGUGGGCGGAAUUCGUGGUGUAGCGGUGAAAUGCUUAGAUAUCACGAAGAACUCCGAUUGCGAAGGCAGUUCACUGGACUGCAACUGACACUGAGGCUCGAAAGUGUGGGUAUCAAACAGGAUUAGAUACCCGAGUAGUC